Long non-coding RNA from Cygnus olor (mute swan), 2142 nucleotides. RefSeq lists it as uncharacterized. The record is from RefSeq and is a predicted model, not a curated record. The transcript has 4 exons. NCBI's taxonomy places the organism in Eukaryota, Metazoa, Chordata, Aves, Anseriformes, Anatidae.
CGCGGGGAGACCGGGCUCGGGGCGCUUCGGUGCUGCCAAAGGCCCCUGGAAGCGACGUGCGGUUACACCUAGUUUGCUCUUAUGCACAUUUCGGGCCCUCGCGCGGGCAAUGGCGACCAGCAGCGUGCUGAGCCGAGCGCUGCUGCAAGUCACCCUUGGGAUGCGUCUUUCACUGUACCGCUUCUAUCCUACAAGAAACAGAUGGAGUGACUGACAACAUGGAGAGGCCUGACAUCAUGGCUGAACAGUUCUGGUGAAGAAUUGCUGCUGGAAACACAUAUGUACUGUACUCACGAAAAACUUGUAAGCAUCCCUGCAAAGUGCUCACUAGAUAAGGGUGAUGCUGAUGUGUGAAGAUUUGUUGCCUAUAGUCCUUUUCUCCAGCACCAGGAAGAAGGGGAGCAUGCCUGGAAAAGGUCAUAGAAGCAAGUCUUGAGAGGAACUUCAGUGGUUGAAAUGAAUGUUGCAAUUUAAAAUAUCACCUUCUAAUUUCACAGAUGCCAUUAUACUUGAAGCUAUCAUCACAGAUCAUACCUCAUUGCAUUAGACACUAUGCACUUACAGGAUAGUGAUCCGUGGCUCAGGUACUCACGCUUCCUUGUCUUGUCAGAUAUGGUUACAGACAGAUGGUUAUGAGGACCUGAGAAUAUGCAUAGCUCAGCAUGAAGAGCAUUUGUCUUGGCACUCUAGUAGUUUACUCACUGUCAAGCUUUGUUUCUGGAUUUUUCAGAACUAUACUGAAGCCUAGUGAGUGCUGCAUGGAUUUCAGACAGUCCCCACAUAUGCAGGCUAGCAUGGGAGAAAACAAAACAUGAUUGUUUGAGAAACAAAAGUGGUGAGGAAUAGCUAGACUGCUAAAUACUGUUAAAUUAUUUUUUCUAAAAUCUUUUUUCUAACUUGCAAGCAUGUUAUUAUAUCAGUUUUAUUGGAAUCAUUGAGAAAUACUACAUUUCAGAAAUGAUAGCAGGUGACAAAGGGAGACAAACCCAUGCGACUUUCAAUAGGCAUUGAAAAGAAACUCAGCAGCAUUAUCUGAGAGGAUUUUUUUGGCUGUAAAAUGUAAGUCAAAGCAUGGGAUGGUAAAGAAUGAGAUGGAGCAGGCUUUCCAAGAGAGCACUACCUGGCACAGGAACAGUGCUGGAACAAUUUGCUGGAACUAAAAGGUCAGAGGAGUUAGUGGAAAUGAUCAGCAUCUCAUUACACAGGCUGCAAGAGUUGUCCCUUUAGGAAGCAGUACUGUCAUGUCUUGGCUGGUGCUGAGGAAAGCUAUGCUGAUUACAGAGCCUCCGAGUAGCAUUAUGGAGGAUGUAAGCCUGAACCUUGAUUUAGGUGGUGUAAAUGGCUAUGCUGUCUGAAGGGAAAAGUAUGUUUAGAAGGGACAAAUGAUGUAGAUAUUAGCUGUACAUGACUGUGAAAUAAGAGCUACAGGAUUCUUGGAGGAGAGCGUUGGGGGUCUUUGGCUAGCCAUACGCAGCAGCGGAUUAAGCAGGCAAGGUCAGCAGAUCAGAAGGUGGCUAGAGGCCUGCCUAAUAAUCCCUGCAAGCAGUGAGGAUAUAAGUAACCUUAGAGCAACACAAUUUACAGUGUUACUGCUUUUCUACUUACAAGUUAACAAAUAAAGGCUAUACUUGCAGAGAUGGAGCACUGGCCUUGUCUAAGGUGCUGUAAGAAGGGAACCUCGGUGUUCAUAAUCCAGUGGGUAAUCCACUCUUGAGUGACUGCAACAGCUUGUCAAUAGGCUGAUUUCAGGAACUGAUCUUAGUUAUUGUAAUUCCAUACUUAUUUUACUUGGUUCUUGUCUCUGGCAGAUAGAAGAUAGGUGUCCAUUCUAGCUGAAAGCGUUGCACUUAGACUCCCAGUGGGGUGUAGCAAGACUACUGUAUGCUUGGAAAACUACAUAAAGGUUUUAUGUAAAUCAUCUUUUCAGGUUUGUAGUGUUUCAAAGUGAAGCAUUUCAUAUGCUCUAGACCAAUUAAAACAAAAUUGUUUCAUGUCCAUUUGUGCAACUCACCUCCCCUAACAUUGCUGUCACUGAAAUUGCCAAAAGAGAGUCUUUGAGCAGACAAGCUCUAUUGCUAAUAGAAAUAAUUGUAAAUCCUCCAAAAACUACUAGGCUAUACUAAGAUUUAGUGCUCCAAAAUA